RNAcentral lists this ribosomal RNA (618 nucleotides) under Sphingobium sp. HN9. Its description in RNAcentral is "bacterial SSU rRNA". It matches the Rfam family "Bacterial small subunit ribosomal RNA", at positions 57 to 722 of the family's 1533-position model. The record is from RNAcentral. Lineage: Bacteria; Pseudomonadati; Pseudomonadota; Alphaproteobacteria; Sphingomonadales; Sphingobiaceae.
GCAGUCGAACGAGAUCUUCGGAUCUAGUGGCGCACGGGUGCGUAACGCGUGGGAAUCUGCCCUUGGGUUCGGAAUAACUUCUGGAAACGGAAGCUAAUACCGGAUGAUGACGUAAGUCCAAAGAUUUAUCGCCCAAGGAUGAGCCCGCGUAGGAUUAGCUAGUUGGUGGGGUAAAGGCCCACCAAGGCGACGAUCCUUAGCUGGUCUGAGAGGAUGAUCAGCCACACUGGGACUGAGACACGGCCCACACUCCUACGGGAGGCAGCAGUAGGGAAUAUUGGACAAUGGGCGAAAGCCUGAUCCAGCAAUGCCGCGUGAGUGAUGAAGGCCUUAGGGUUGUAAAGCUCUUUUACCCGGGAUGAUAAUGACAGUACCGGGAGAAUAAGCUCCGGCUAACUCCGUGCCAGCAGCCGCGGUAAUACGGAGGGAGCUAGCGUUGUUCGGAAUUACUGGGCGUAAAGCGCACGUAGGCGGCUAUUCAAGUCAGAGGUGAAAGCCCGGGGCUCAACCCCGGAACUGCCUUUGAAACUAGAUAGCUUGAAUCCAGGAGAGGUGAGUGGAAUUCCGAGUGUAGAGGUGAAAUUCGUAGAUAUUCGGAAGAACACCAGUGGCGAAGGC